Temnothorax curvispinosus is the source of this 774-nucleotide long non-coding RNA. RefSeq lists it as uncharacterized. NCBI's taxonomy places the organism in Eukaryota, Metazoa, Arthropoda, Insecta, Hymenoptera, Formicidae. The transcript has 4 exons. The record is from RefSeq and is a predicted model, not a curated record.
GUAAUUUGGACUCAGAAAUAACGUUGGUAGUAUAUUAAUUUUCUGUUGUUAUAAUGUUAUCGUUUUAUAUUGUGCGCAACGCUCAUCUCGACAGCCAUGAUGUACAUGAUUAUCCUACAUACGAUGCGUGAGUGCGUAUACACGUGUGUCAAUCGAGGAGUGCGGAGUGCUCUUUAUUUACAGCAUAUAUUUAUAUAUAAGUAGUAACUAUUAUAUUCUAAAAGUUGUAUAUUAAUGAUAAGAAUUCAAUUAACCAUAUACGUGCUAUAAUUAUUUGUGCUAUGAAUAGUAGCUGGUGAUGUAGGAUUCAUUUUCCGAUUUACAAGAGAGAUUUACAAAAGAGAGGAAAUAUCAAUUAAUUUUUUUACGUUCUAUAAUAGAUUUGUCCUUGGACAUUAAAAAUAUCAUCAAGGGCAAUGAAUAUGUCUUAACAUAUGGGAUCAAUUGUUGUAUCAAAUUCAAAAAACCACCAUUUGAAAAAUUUGAUCCUGGCUAAGAUAAACAUCAGUGAACAAUAUAUUAUAAGGAAAACUCUGUACAAGAUACUAGAAAUGCUAAAAGAUGACCAAGAAGCUUUUACACAAGUCAUAAAGGCUAUUAGACAACAAUCCCUUGUAAUACAGAGAAAGACUUGGAACACUCUAUAAUGGAAUAGCUUAGAUUUGCAAACAUCCGUAAACAAAGGAAAAAAUCUUAAAAGCAACUGUUUGGUAAAGAUCUGGAAAGAUUAAUAAUCUGUUUAAAAGGAAAGAAUAAGAGUUUGGAAAAAAAUAA